ACGCGAAGAACCUUACCUGGACUUGACAUCCUUGGAACCUUACAGAAAUGUUUGGGUGCCCUCGGGAACCAAGUGACAGGUGCUGCACGGCUGUCGUCAGCUCGUGUCGUGAGAUGUUGGGUUAAGUCCCGCAACGAGCGCAACCCAUGUCGUUAGUUACUAACAUUUAGUUGAGGACUCUAACGAGACUGCCGGUGACAAACCGGAGGAAGGUGUGGACGACGUCAAGUCAUCAUGGCCCUUAUGUCCAGGGCUACACACGUGUUACAAUGGCAGGCACAACAGGUCGCUACUUAGUAAUAAGAUGCUAAUCCCUAAAACCUGUCUCAGUUCGGAUUGAAGGCUGCAACUCGCCUUCAUGAAGUAGGAAUCGCUAGUAAACGCAGAUCAGCACGCUGCGUUGAAUACGUUCUCGGGUCUUGUACACACCG
This 431-nucleotide ribosomal RNA is filed under the name uncultured bacterium. RNAcentral's name for it is "bacterial SSU rRNA". It matches the Rfam family "Bacterial small subunit ribosomal RNA", at positions 959 to 1392 of the family's 1533-position model. The record is from RNAcentral.